UACGUAGGGUGCGAGCGUUGUCCGGAUUUAUUGGGCGUAAAGAGCUCGUAGGCGGUUUGUCGCGUCGGCCGUGAAAUCUCCACGCUUAACGUGGAGCGUGCGGUCGAUACGGGCAGACUUGAGUUCGGUAGGGGAGACUGGAAUUCCUGGUGUAGCGGUGAAAUGCGCAGAUAUCAGGAGGAACACCUGAGGUGAAGACGGGUUGCUGGGCUGACACUGACGCUGAGGCGCGAAAGCUAGGGUAGCAAACGGG
RNAcentral lists this ribosomal RNA (253 nucleotides) under uncultured bacterium. Its description in RNAcentral is "partial 16S ribosomal RNA". It matches the Rfam family "Bacterial small subunit ribosomal RNA", at positions 524 to 776 of the family's 1533-position model. The record is from RNAcentral.